CCUACGGGGGGCUGCAGUGGGGAAUAUUGGGCAAUGGGCGCAAGCCUGACCCAGCAACGCCGCGUGAGGGAAGAAGGUUUUCGGAUUGUAAACCUCUGUCGCAAGGGACGAAGAAGUGACGGUACCUUGUGAGGAAGCCCCGGCUAACUACGUGCCAGCAGCCGCGGUAAUACGUAGGGGGCGAGCGUUGUCCGGAAUUACUGGGCGUAAAGGGUGCGUAGGCGGUUGCUUAAGUUGGAUGUGAAAUACCCGGGCUUAACUUGGGGGGUGCAUUCAAAACUGGGCGACUAGAGUUCAGGAGAGGGAAGCGGAAUUCCUAGUGUAGCGGUGAAAUGCGUAGAUAUUAGGAGGAACACCAGUGGCGAAGGCGGCUUUCUGGACUGACACUGACGCUGAGGCACGAAAGCGUGGGGAGCAAACAGGAUUAGAUACCCGAGUAGUCG
RNAcentral lists this ribosomal RNA (443 nucleotides) under uncultured Christensenellaceae bacterium. RNAcentral's name for it is "bacterial SSU rRNA". It matches the Rfam family "Bacterial small subunit ribosomal RNA", at positions 338 to 796 of the family's 1533-position model. The record is from RNAcentral. Lineage: Bacteria; Bacillati; Bacillota; Clostridia; Christensenellales; Christensenellaceae.